GAGCUCGAACCCCUCCAAGAUCCCAAAGACAAACCCAGUGACGUUUCUCUAUCUCCCUCGUCUCUCAAUUUCUCCCUCUCACUGUUAAUCUCCCUUUUUUUUAAAAUUUUUAUAGGUGGGUGUUGUUGCUCUCUGUCCUGUGAAGAUAAAGCCAGAAAUCAAAAAUGGAUUUUCCCUUUUGUUUUCUUUUUUUCUUCUAUUCUUGUUCGUCCC
This 213-nucleotide long non-coding RNA is filed under the name Capsicum annuum. Its description in RNAcentral is "long non-coding RNA (CANN_LNC004133)". The record is from RNAcentral. Lineage: Eukaryota; Viridiplantae; Streptophyta; Magnoliopsida; Solanales; Solanaceae.